AUACAGCGAAACUGCGAAUGGCUCAUUAUAUAAGUUCCUCGUUUAUUUGAUAGUGCCUUACUACUUGGAUAACCGUGGUAAUUCUAGAGCUAAUACAUGCUAAAAACCCCGACUUCGGAAGGGGUGUAUUUAUUAGAUACAAAACCAAUGCCCUUCGGGGCUCUUUGGUGAUUCAUGAUAACUAUACGAAUCGCACGGCCUUGCGCCGGCGAUGGUUCAUUCAAAUUUCUUCCCUAUCAACUUUCGAUGUUUGGGUAUUGGCCAAACAUGGUUGCAACGGGUAACGGAGGGUUAGGGCUCGACCCCGGAGAAGGAGCCUGAGAAACGGCUACUACAUCCAAGGAAGGCAGCAGGCGCGCAAAUUACCCAAUCCCGACUCGGGGAGGUAGUGACAAUAAAUACUGAUACAGGGCCCUUUCGGGCCUUGUAAUUGGAAUGAGUACACUUUAAAUCCCUUAACGAGGAACAAUUGGAGGGCAAGUCUGGUGCCAGCAGCCGCGGUAAUUCCAGCUCCAAUAGCGUAUAU
RNAcentral lists this ribosomal RNA (526 nucleotides) under uncultured eukaryote. RNAcentral describes it as "SSU rRNA". It matches the Rfam family "Eukaryotic small subunit ribosomal RNA", at positions 76 to 604 of the family's 1831-position model. The record is from RNAcentral.